This is a non-coding RNA of Camellia sinensis, 951 nucleotides long. The record is from RefSeq and is a predicted model, not a curated record. Lineage: Eukaryota; Viridiplantae; Streptophyta; Magnoliopsida; Ericales; Theaceae.
UUGGGAUUUGUAAGCUUAACUGUCUGGAGCAUGAAAACAUGGAAGGCUAUGGUAUGCCCUUGUUUGUCCCACAAAUUGUACAUUACUGUAGGAAGUCAAUUUGUCUGACUGACAGCUAUUAUGUCUUAAUAUUUCUCAACUUUAUUGAAGACAGUCCUUCCCCUUGGUGAAGAUCCUCCGGCAAUUACUUCCUUAUGCUUCAAUCAUAACGGGAAGAUUUUAGCAGCUGCUGCAACUGAUGGAAUGAUUCAUAUGUUCGGUAUCCUUAUAGUAUUUUAUGUUUAUAGCUGGGGGGAGGGAGGGGGGAUUAAACAUUUCUACUUUGAAAGGAAACUUGUCCCCAAUCUCAUGCUGCACACAAGACAUGCGCAACAAAUGUAUACAUCUUAAUUUGGCAAAGAUAUGUCUGCCGGACUACAAAUUACUGGGUGGCCGGCUCAUGAUUCUGCUAUUAGCUCUGUUCUUUUUGGGCCUGAUGAGACAAGUAUUUUUAGCUUGGGGAUAGAUGGAAAGGCAAGUGCCUCUGUUUCCUCUGAUUUUUAGCUUGAGUUAGGGUCAUGCAUAAAAAGCACUUUCUACCUUAUUCUUUUAAAUUUUGUUAUUUGUUUUAGCUAGCUUGUUGGAUUAUAUUCUUAUGCUUAGCCAUAUAUGUGUAAUCUCACCAAAUUAGCUUCUACUUCAGAUAUUUGAAUGGAUCUUGCAAAACCAAGGUAAAAUUCUUUGGUCAAGAAAUUGCAGCAGGUUCUGUAAUCGUGAUAACUCUGAACAUAGACAUGAAAUGGCUUUAGAUGCUAAUGGGAAGAGACUGCUGGCAACAUCUGGUUCAGUGAGAGCACCCAUCUAUCAGGGGUAGUCUAUACCGCCUCAUCCAUAGGGCAGAUGCUGGUGAAGUUUACCUUGUUGACGCGUACGACAAAGAGAGAUUUGCAGAGGCCAGAAAGGAGUUGGAUG